This 482-nucleotide ribosomal RNA is filed under the name uncultured bacterium. RNAcentral describes it as "partial 16S ribosomal RNA". It matches the Rfam family "Bacterial small subunit ribosomal RNA", at positions 28 to 507 of the family's 1533-position model. The record is from RNAcentral.
GAUGAACGCUAGCGGCAGGCCUAAUUCAUGCAAGUCGGACGGGAUUCAGGAGCUUGCUUCUGAUGAGAGUGGCGCACGGGUGCGUAACACGUAUGUAACCUACCUUUAUCAGGGGGAUAGCCUCUCGAAAGAGAGAUUAAGCCCGCAUAAAAUCACAGCACAGCAUUGUGUAAUGAUCAAAUAUUUAUAGGAUAAAGAUGGGCAUGCGGAACAUUAGCUAGAUGGCGGGGUAACGGCCCACCAUGGCGACGAUGUUUAGGGGAUCUGAGAGGAUGGCCCCCCACACUGGUACUGAGACACGGACCAGACUCCUACGGGAGGCAGCAGUAAGGAAUAUUGGUCAAUGGGCGGAAGCCUGAACCAGCCAUGCCGCGUGCAGGAAGACGGCCCUACGGGUUGUAAACUGCUUUUAUACGGGAAUAAACCCAGAUACGUGUAUCUGGCUGAAUGUACUGUAAGAAUAAGGAUCGGCUAACUCCGUG